UGGACACAAUAAAAAAGGAAAGAAGAAGGAAGUCUCUACCUUUUCCUUUGGAGGAGCUCCAGUUUCUGGCAUGGCCUUCCAGCCCUGGUCUUCCAGUUCCUGGCACAGAGUCUUCAGCCUUCUGACCUGACUUGCACCAGACUCUGCUGUGAUCUCCAAGUCUUUGCCUUUCACUGGACACUCUGGCUCCCAGUGUACAGAUGGCCGGUCUGCACUCUUCCUCUCUGCCCUGACAGACGGCCACUGGGGCUCUUCUGCUUCUGGUCUGUUGGAUUGACUGAGAAGGUGUUAGAAAUGAGAUUUCCCAG
Molecule: long non-coding RNA, 308 nt
Filed under: Chinchilla lanigera (long-tailed chinchilla)
Lineage: Eukaryota; Metazoa; Chordata; Mammalia; Rodentia; Chinchillidae
Description: lncRNA (ENSCLAG00000024271.1)
Source: RNAcentral